This 253-nucleotide ribosomal RNA is filed under the name uncultured bacterium. RNAcentral describes it as "partial 16S ribosomal RNA". It matches the Rfam family "Bacterial small subunit ribosomal RNA", at positions 524 to 776 of the family's 1533-position model. The record is from RNAcentral.
UACAGAGGGUGCUAGCGUUGUUCGGAAUCAUUGGGCGUAAAGGGCUCGUAGGUGGCCAACUAAGUCAGACGUGAAAUCCCUCGGCUUAACCGGGGAACUGCGUCUGAUACUGGAUGGCUAGAGAUUGGGAGAGGGAUGCGGAAUUCCAGGUGUAGCGGUGAAAUGCGUAGAUAUCUGGAGGAACACCGGUGGCGAAGGCGGCAUCCUGGACCAACACUGACGCUGAGGAGCGAAAGCCAGGGGAGCAAACGGG